This 3197-nucleotide unclassified non-coding RNA is filed under the name Polistes dominula (European paper wasp). RNAcentral's name for it is "putative golgin subfamily A member 6-like protein 6, transcript variant X2". Lineage: Eukaryota; Metazoa; Arthropoda; Insecta; Hymenoptera; Vespidae. The record is from RNAcentral.
UAAUUAUUAGCAUUAAUAAUUUAUAAAAAUAAGACAAUAUAGAUGAUUAGGAUUGCGUGCAUAAUAGCAAUUUUAUAAUCUGAUUAGAUAUAUAGGGCCUGACCAGUUUAUCGAAACUCCCACUUAGAGUUCCCCUUAGCAACAGAAUAAACACGCAUAAACAACCCCAAACCAUAACCUAUUUUUUUUUCUCUGAUCUAUAUACGUCAAAUGCUUUGUGAACAAAUCAGUUAGAUUUAACUGUUUAAUUUACGGUGCAACGAGAUAAAAAAUAUCAUUAAAACAUGGUACAUCUCGAGGAGGUAGAUGACCUCGUGAAUCAAAUGAUGAAGGUGCCAAUUUUUUCACAUUCUGAAAAGCAGAGAUUAUUAGAAGAUGAUAACAAUACAGACUUUCUUGAUCCUAAUUUAAUUAUGGAUACGAGACACAAUAUAACUCGAGAGACACUAAACAAUCCAGACGCAAAUUGUUCUGCUUUAGCAGAGGUUAAAAGGUUGUUGAAAGAAAAGGAAAUUAAAGAAAUGUGCCUGAAAAAGGAACGAGCUUUUCUUGAAAUGGAAUUGAGAAAAUUCGAGAAGGAACUUCAUAAAUCCCGCCCAAAAUUUCAACGACAAUAUGAAUGCAGUAAAAAAAGUCUGGCUAAUUCAAAUGACCAAAAUUUCUGGAGUAUAUCUAACAAAAUAAAGAUGGAGAUUAAAACAAGCAACAAGUCAAAGGUACAAACUUUUGGAACGAAAAGCAAACAAACAUCCGUCAAAGAAUUAUCUCCGAUAUUUGAAAAUUCUAAUACCGCUGAGAUCGAUGAAAAUGAUAAAAAUGACGUAAACGAAUCUUUCGGAAGUAUCAAAAUAACUAUUAAGAAUAAAAUUAAUUUCGAUUCGGAAGAAAAACGAUUGAACUUAAUGAAGAAAUAUUUUGAAUUUGUAAAAGAAUAUUCGACAAGAGAGCGACGAUUUCGAGAGAUAAAAAUAAAACUACAAGAAAGGAUGACUUCGAGAAGAUUAAAAAGAUACUUUAAUUUUUGGAAAACUUACGCUGAGGAUAAAAAAAAUGCUUCAAAAAUAAAAAAAGAAGUACAAGACGUAUCUCAUGAACGUAAAAUUGAAAUUUUUAUUAGCGAAAUUACGGAAAAGAAAAAGAAAUUAGGAAAUCAUUUUAAAUCGAAGAUAAAAAAUAAUGUAUCUUUUAAAAUUAUACAAGAAAAUGAAGAUAAAAAAAAAUUAACUCGCCGGAAAAACAAUUAUCCGUUCGAAUCUUUAGUAGAAAAUCGUUUGAAUGCUCAGAAAAUUAUAAUCGAAAAACAAAAAUCUAAAUUGGCUGAACAAAAUAGAAUUAUCGAGGAACUGAAAUUGAAACAAAUUCAACAAGAAUUGAUGACAAUGGAUAAGGACACUAUGAACGUUGCCAAAGAAACUUUGAUGAAUUGUGGCCAAGAAACAAGAAGAACUUUAAUUCUAUUAAUGAAGCAAGCUGGUUACAGCGACUUAUAUACAAAUCGUCCUCAACAAGCACUAAAUCCACCAAAAUUCAUUAUGAAAGUGGAAGCUCGGGCAGAGGCGAGAAGAGAACGAUUAAGAAAAGCGGAAGAAACUCGUCAAAAAAAGUUGGAAGAGCAGAAAUUAAAAGAAGAAGCAACUAAACGAGAAGAAGAAGAAAAAAGAAAAAAAUUACAGCAAGAGACUAUACGAGAAGCGAGAAGGCUGCAUGAAGAACAAAAAAAGUGUAAAAUGGAAGAAUUAGAAAAAUUAAAAAAAUUAAAUUCGAUGGCCAAUCAAUUCUAUUGCAAAUAUUUAUUUCGACAUUAUAUAAUAGAACCGUUUAAGAAACUCAUCAAAAUAAGAAACGACAAUAUUCAAAGAGCAAACGAUCAUUAUAAAAAAUUCUUAUUACUCCAAACUUUGACUGCCUGGAGAAGGGAAACGAAAGAACAGUAUCAAAUCAAACUUGAACUUGCCAUUUCCUUACACAAUAGGAAUUUAUUAUGGUACACUUUUAAAGAUUGGACGGAUAUGGUAAAGGAAGAAAAUAUAAAACAUCAAGUUGCCAAAGAUUUCUACGAUAUGAAAUUGCAAGAGAAAUAUUUCUGUGUAUUGAGAUCUAUUGUUGCCAUAAUAAAAUUAGAAUAUUUAAAAUACGUCAAAAUGGCAGAUGAACAUUACAAUGAUAAACUUGUGAAUAAAUAUUUUAAUAAAUGGAGAGAUUAUCCUACGAUAGCUGAAAUAGUUAAAGAAAGUGAAAAACAAAGGAACAAGUGGAGAGAGAUAGUACAAAAACUAGUUCCCGAUUUUGAUCCUAAGGAGAGAGGAGUAGUGCUAGAGGAUUAAGAUUAAUUUUAUAAUUGAUCAAAACACUAAAAAUAUUUAUGAACUACCUUAUAUGUGGUGUUUUCACAUCUUUUUAUCAUAAAAAAAAUAUGCUUACUGCUAUCCGCUCCUUGCGUGAUUGCAGCGCCAUGGUAUCUAUGAACUAAAGGACGCUGCUGCUGAGUUUUUAAUAUCUAAACGUAUAGGGCUUUGCAAUAACAAUUAAUUUUUGUUAUUAAAAAAAUUUUUUUUUGCAUAUCAAACCACGUGACAAUAAAAUUUCAAUCUUGUGCAAUUAUGAUGCAAAAAUUACCGCUAAAAUUUAUCCACUGCGUGCGCUAGUGUCCACUUCGGCUUCCCCUACCAUGGCUUCGCACGGAGCGGAUACGCUAACGAUAUGAUUAGUUUCACAGAUAGAAUAGUCACUUUUAUACAAUAUAUAGUUCAAAGAUUUUAUAUAAAUUAUACAUAUUUUUGAUUUUAUAUUUCGUUUUUAAAGAAAUAAUUAAUUAGCACGUAAUAAGUACUUUAUCACAGUUAUACAAUAAAUGUAUAUAAAUACUAAACAUAGUAACAUCCUGACGUAAUAACCAGAAAUUUUAUUUAUGACUGAUAUACUAUUAUUGCGAUAUGUCAUUAUAGUGCUUGAUAUACGUUAAUUGCUAUUAGUAUAUCACACAAUUUAUGACACAUCCACGUUGAAUUCAAUGAAAAAACUUAUCCUACUAAAAAGUGUUGUAAUAAAGACAUCGAAAAAUACAAAUAAAUAAAUAUUAUCAAUAAAAGAAAUAUACUAAAAUAUUUUUAAGUACCUGGCUUGACGAUCGUAGUUCAAAUUAAUUCUUAGUAUUGAUGGUCAUUUUAUUCUCUUGGCAACAAAUAAAAUAUGCUCUG